This is a long non-coding RNA of Gallus gallus (chicken), 810 nucleotides long. NCBI's taxonomy places the organism in Eukaryota, Metazoa, Chordata, Aves, Galliformes, Phasianidae. The record is from Ensembl.
GAAACAAAGAGAUCAGAUCCUCUGGAUAAGAUGUAGCCCACCAAGAACCUUGCUGUUCUUCUUACCCAGGGUUCCAAUGACAGUACUACUUCAAGAAGCAGUUCUUCAGAAUGAGUUUUCUGGAGCCUCCUGUGCUCCGACUCCUCUUCAGUAGUGAUCAGAGCAUGCUAACAGCAUGAAAGAUAAGAUGUGAAUUGCAACCUUUUUUACUUCUGAGAACUGGCAGGCAAAAUGGUUCUUUCAAUCAGCAUCUCUUGGCCUUUGGACAGAGUUCCUUGAAUAUCAUAGAAUCAUAGAAUAUGACUGAGAAGGCUGCAGAUCUUUCAGUGGUGUCCCACGAAGCAUAUAAAGUACCCUCUCUUGCAUCCGUUAUGACAAUUCAUUCCAGUAAGUAUAAACUAAUUGUUAACAUGUGAUAAGAACCAUAAAGUUGCAUUUGUUCUUCUCAGUUUCAGAGGAUAAAGACAUGCUUCAGCUUCAAACAACCUGGAAGAAUAAAGCAGGAGAAUACGGAAACAGAGAAACAAAACAGAUUUUUCAGUAGUGUUUUUUAUUAUGAUUCCAUCUUAACAGAUCUUUUGCAAGUAUGAAAAUGGGCUUUGAAUUCCCAUCCGAGUUACACAUCUCUCCCUCAAUGAAAUGAAGGGUCAGGGAAAAAUAAUAGAAAAAAUAAAUCUUCAUGAGUUAACAAGAGAUCAGUGGUUUCAGACCACUGACUAGCAGACCAUGUAUUUACCAAGACUCACCAAAUUGGUCUGCUGUGAUCCACUGCUCAUUUUCCAUAAUGACAAAUUUCAUAAAUACAAUGCG